Molecule: ribosomal RNA, 997 nt
Filed under: uncultured organism
Description: bacterial SSU rRNA
Rfam family: Bacterial small subunit ribosomal RNA
Source: RNAcentral
UGGGGGAUAUUGCACAAUGGGGGAAACCCUGAUGCAGCGACGCCGCGUGGAGGAAGAAGGUUUUCGGAUUGUAAACUCCUGUCGUUAGGGACGAUAAUGACGGUACCUAACAAGAAAGCACCGGCUAACUACGUGCCAGCAGCCGCGGUAAAACGUAGGGUGCAAGCGUUGUCCGGAAUUACUGGGUGUAAAGGGAGCGCAGGCGGGAAGACAAGUUGGAAGUGAAAACCAUGGGCUCAACCCAUGAAUUGCUUUCAAAACUGUUUUUCUUGAGUAGUGCAGAGGUAGAUGGAAUUCCCGGUGUAGCGGUGGAAUGCGUAGAUAUCGGGAGGAACACCAGUGGCGAAGGCGGUCUACUGGGCACCAACUGACGCUGAGGCUCGAAAGCAUGGGUAGCAAACAGGAUUAGAUACCCUGGUAGUCCAUGCCGUAAACGAUGAUUACUAGGUGUUGGGGGAUUGACCCCCUCAGUGCCGCAGUUAACACAAUAAGUAAUCCACCUGGGGAGUACGACCGCAAGGUUGAAACUCAAAGGAAUUGACGGGGGCCCGUACAAGCAGUGGAGUAUGUGGUUUAAUUCGAAGCAACGCGAAGAACCUUACCAGGUCUUGACAUCCGAUGCAUAGCACAGAGAUGUGUGAAAUCCUUCGGGACAUCGAGACAGGUGGUGCAUGGUUGUCGUCAGCUCGUGUCGUGAGAUGUUGGGUUAAGUCCCGCAACGAGCGCAACCCUUAUUGCCAGUUACUACGUUAAGAGGACUCUGGCGAGACUGCCGUUGACAAAACGGAGGAAGGUGGGGAUGACGUCAAAUCAUCAUGCCCUUUAUGACCUGGGCUACACACGUACUACAAUGGCGUUAAACAAAGAGAAGCAAGACCGCGAGGUGGAGCAAAACUCAAAAACAACGUCUCAGUUCAGAUUGCAGGCUGCAACUCGCCUGCAUGAAGUCGGAAUUGCUAGUAAUCGCGGAUCAGCAUGCCGCGGUGAAUACGUUCCC